Molecule: ribosomal RNA, 510 nt
Filed under: Paracaloptenus sp. 1a
Lineage: Eukaryota; Metazoa; Arthropoda; Insecta; Orthoptera; Acrididae
Also listed under: 1 other name
Description: partial large subunit ribosomal RNA
Rfam family: Archaeal large subunit ribosomal RNA
Source: RNAcentral
GUCCUCUUGAUAAUAUUUUGAGGUCUAGCCUGCUCACUGAUUAGGUUUUGAAGAGCCGCGGUAUUUUGACCGUGCAAAGGUAGCAUAAUCAUUAGUCUCUUAAUUAGGGGCUGGUAUGAAUGGCUUGACGAGAAAUCAGCUGUCUCUUAAUAAUUUUUAAAAUUUAACUUUUGAGUCAAAAGGCUUAAAUUUUUCUUUAGGACGAGAAGACCCUAUAGAGCUUAACAUUUUAUUUUUAUAUGGUUUUUAGUUAAUCUUUCCAUAUUUAAUAAAAAUGUUUUGUUGGGGUGACAUGAAGAAUAAAUAAACUCUUCAUUAUUAAAUCAUUGAUUUAUGUUUAUCAUGAUCCAUAUUUUAUGAUCAUAAGAUUAAGUUACCUUAGGGAUAACAGCGUAAUUGUUUUUGAGAGCUCAUAUCGACAAAGCAGAUUGCGACCUCGAUGUUGGAUUAAGAAAAAUUUUGGGUGCAGUAGCCCAAUGAUUAGGUCUGUUCGACCUUUAAAUUCUUACA